AACGAACGCUGGCGGCAUGCCUAACACAUGCAAGUCGAACGAAGCCUUCGGGCUUAGUGGCGCACGGGUGCGUAACGCGUGGGAAUCUGCCCUUGGGUUCGGAAUAACAGUUAGAAAUGACUGCUAAUACCGAAUGAUGUCUUCGGACCAAAGAUUUAUCGCCCAAGGAUGAGCCCGCGUCGGAUUAGCUAGUUGGUGAGGUAAAGGCUCACCAAGGCGACGAUCCGUAGCUGGUCUGAGAGGAUGAUCAGCCACACUGGGACUGAGACACGGCCCAGACUCCUACGGGAGGCAGCAGUGGGGAAUAUUGGACAAUGGGCGAAAGCCUGAUCCAGCAAUGCCGCGUGAGUGAUGAAGGCCUUAGGGUU
Molecule: ribosomal RNA, 368 nt
Filed under: uncultured bacterium
Lineage: Bacteria
Description: bacterial SSU rRNA
Rfam family: Bacterial small subunit ribosomal RNA
Source: RNAcentral